UCUUCUCUAGGCUAAUGGUUAAGUCGUCUGGCUGUUGACCAGAAAAUUGUGUGUUCGAAUCACACGGGAAGAG
Tritrichomonas musculus is the source of this 73-nucleotide non-coding RNA. The record is from the annotation of a GenBank genome assembly. Lineage: Eukaryota; Parabasalia; Tritrichomonadida; Tritrichomonadidae.